UACGGAGGAUGCGAGCGUUAUCCGGAUUUAUUGGGUUUAAAGGGUGCGUAGGCGGAUUUUUAAGUCAGCGGUAAAAUGUCCGGGCUCAACCCGGGCCGGCCGUUGAAACUGGGGAUCUUAAGUGGGCGAGAAGUAUGCGGAAUGCGUGGUGUAGCGGUGAAAUGCAUAGAUAUCACGCAGAACUCCGAUUGCGAAGGCAGCAUACCGGCGCCCGACUGACGCUGAGGCACGAAAGCGUGGGGAUCGAACAGG
This 252-nucleotide ribosomal RNA is filed under the name uncultured bacterium. RNAcentral's name for it is "partial 16S ribosomal RNA". It matches the Rfam family "Bacterial small subunit ribosomal RNA", at positions 524 to 776 of the family's 1533-position model. The record is from RNAcentral.